This 440-nucleotide ribosomal RNA is filed under the name uncultured bacterium. Its description in RNAcentral is "partial 16S ribosomal RNA". It matches the Rfam family "Bacterial small subunit ribosomal RNA", at positions 338 to 795 of the family's 1533-position model. The record is from RNAcentral.
CCUACGGGAGGCAGCAGUGGGGAAUAUUGCACAAUGGGGGAAACCCUGAUGCAGCGACGCCGCGUGAGUGAAGAAGUAUUUCGGUACGUAAAGCUCUAUCAGCAGGGAAGAAAAUGACGGUACCUGACUAAGAAGCCCCGGCUAACUACGUGCCAGCAGCCGCGGUAAUACGUAGGGGGCAAGCGUUAUCCGGAUUUACUGGGUGUAAAGGGAGCGUAGACGGCAGCGCAAGUCUGUAGUGAAAUCCCAUGGCUUAACCAUGGAACUGCUUUGGAAACUGGGCAGCUAGAGUGCAGGAGAGGUAAGCGGAAUUCCUAGUGUAGCGGUGAAAUGCGUAGAUAUUAGGAGGAACACCAGUGGCGAAGGCGGCUUACUGGACUGUAACUGACGUUGAGGCUCGAAAGCGUGGGGAGCAAACAGGAUUAGAUACCCGAGUAGUC